UCUGGCCUCAAAUCAGGUAGGACUAC
This 26-nucleotide ribosomal RNA is filed under the name Quambalaria cyanescens. RNAcentral describes it as "partial 28S ribosomal RNA". The record is from RNAcentral. Lineage: Eukaryota; Fungi; Basidiomycota; Exobasidiomycetes; Microstromatales; Quambalariaceae.